GUGCCAGCAGCCGCGGUAAUACGGAGGGUGCAAGCGUUAAUCGGAAUUACUGGGCGUAAAGCGCGCGUAGGUGGCUUGAUAAGCCGGUUGUGAAAGCCCCGGGCUCAACCUGGGAACGGCAUCCGGAACUGUCAAGCUAGAGUGCAGGAGAGGAAGGUAGAAUUCCCGGUGUAGCGGUGAAAUGCGUAGAGAUCGGGAGGAAUACCAGUGGCGAAGGCGGCCUUCUGGACUGACACUGACACUGAGGUGCGAAAGCGUGGGUAGCAAACAGGAUUAGAUACCCUCGUAGUCC
RNAcentral lists this ribosomal RNA (292 nucleotides) under uncultured microorganism. RNAcentral describes it as "partial 16S ribosomal RNA". It matches the Rfam family "Bacterial small subunit ribosomal RNA", at positions 505 to 796 of the family's 1533-position model. The record is from RNAcentral.